Molecule: non-coding RNA, 1642 nt
Organism: Benincasa hispida (wax gourd)
Lineage: Eukaryota; Viridiplantae; Streptophyta; Magnoliopsida; Cucurbitales; Cucurbitaceae
Source: RefSeq, a predicted model, not a curated record
CCCAUCUCCACCUCUCUCUCACUUCUCCUCUCUGCAACCUACACGUUUCGCCCAACCAUCGUUUUCCCUCGCCGUCUGCACACCUCUCAGCCGUUUGCGUUCGCUGGGCCCUGCCAUCGUUUGACGAGUUAAGGCUUCGCAACGUUCGCGGGAUCUGAAGCCAUUCACCACAGCUCGUUCGUUGUCGCGCCAUUGCUCGACUCCCAACCGUUCGCUCUAGUUGUCCGCCUUCAUUCGACCAUUCGCCCACCGUUAGCCAGAUCCUCGUCGUUCUGUCUGUCUCACGUAGGGACUGCUGCAAUCGAUGAUUCUUUCGAGUUGCGUUCAACCAACCAUCCGACAACUGCUUUCCUAAUCUGGUCGAUGCCAUCAGUCUUUUCGUUGUCGACCAGCCACUGGGUUUCGCUGGAUCUUAAGUUUUGGCGUAAGUUUUUUGGUUUUUCUUAAAAAUUUACCCAUUUAAAUUUUUGUCCAAUACUUAUUUAACCCUAAAUUUUGGAUGAUGGAUUCAGGAAUUUGAGGAUAUUAAACCGCUAUCCCAAUAGUGUUUGAGGUUCGAUUUUGUUGUGUUUGGAUUAAAUUGAUUUGCCCUUAGGUUUGGGGCCUGAACUUGAGUUUUUGGAAGGAUUGUGUAUUCCAAAAGUUUGCUAUCCAGUUGUUUCAGUGAUCGACUUUGGAGGUUGGAGUUGAGAUCUUGAGGUGGUUUUGGAUCAAACCACUACCAGGUAAGGCGCCUCACAGUUAGUCUCAUAUUCUAUCUUAUUUGAUUUAUGUAUUAAGGUUACAACUAUUAGUUAUGAUAAUUUUUAACUUGUUUAAUUUGUACUAUUAUAUUCAUAUCAUAAGAGAAGGAAGUUGUUAGUGCAUCAACCACACAUGAGGAAGGGAAAAAGGUUAAGGAGAUGGAAGCUAUUAGUAUACUUUGCUUGAGUUUUUUUUUUUUUUUUUUUGUAAAAUUUAUUUCAGUCUGAAUAUUAUACUAUACUCUUUGACGAAUAUAGGGCAAUGACCAUUUUUCAGUCUAAAAAAAUUUGCAAAAGACUAAAAAAACCACAUUCUAGAAAACAGUAAAGGUAAGUAUAAGAGUAUUGAAAAAAUUAAUAGAAUGAUGUUUAUUUAAUGCAUCUGUAUGAUAUGUGUAUUAAUUAUUGGCUUUGUAUUUUAGUGUCCUUUACAAAUGGGAACUAUCGAUGGGUAUUAUGUUAUAAUAUAUAUGCGAGAAAUUGUGACUAAACAGAAGAAUAUUAUCGCAGAUGCGAUUGAUACGAGGAGCUCGUACUCGCAACUUGAAUUGGAUGAAGUACGCGUGGAAUGGGCUAAAUAUUUAGGUCGCUAUAUCUGAUGGACUUCCUAUAAAUUUUGUGUAUGUGGCUACAUGGGAAUGCCCAAAACUUUUUUUGUGUAAAUGUUUUGUUCAACCAUUAUAGGUUAUAUACUUCAAAGAAAUGUGUGGUGGAGGAUAGAAUUUUAGUCUUCUGAUUUUUGGAAUACAUAGCAUAUAUAGAUUGGUCUUACAAUUUUGGAAUUAUCAUAUAUUGGGGUGGGUUGAUAGAGUAUAUAUUGUUGUACGAUUGGUCUUGUAAAUUUUGGAAUCGUUCAUAUAGACGUGAGUAAUAGAAGAAUGGAAUUGUUUAUUUUAGUA